This 444-nucleotide ribosomal RNA is filed under the name uncultured bacterium. RNAcentral's name for it is "partial 16S ribosomal RNA". It matches the Rfam family "Bacterial small subunit ribosomal RNA", at positions 354 to 796 of the family's 1533-position model. The record is from RNAcentral.
GUAGGGAAUAUUGGGCAAUGGAUGCAAGUCUGACCCAGCCAUCCCGCGUGCCGGAAGAGGCCCUCAGGGUUGUAAACGGCUUUUGACGGUGAAGAAUCGACAGGAUGCGUCCUGUUUUGACGGUAGCCGUUGAAUAAGCACCGGCUAACUCCGUGCCAGCAGCCGCGGUAAUACGGAGGGUGCGAGCGUUGUCCGGAUUUAUUGGGUUUAAAGGGUGCGUAGGCUGGAAGGUCAGUCAGCGGUGAAAAGCUGUCGCUUAACGAUAGUCUUGCCGCAGAUACUUCCUUUCUUGGAUGAGGAGGAGGCCACUGGAACGGAUGGUGUAGCGGUGAAAUGCAUAGAUAUCAUCCAGAACACCGAUUGCGAAGGCAGGUGGCUGUACCUUAAUCGACGCUGAUGCACGAAAGCAUGGGGAGCAAACAGGAUUAGAUACCCUUGUAGUCC